UUCUUCCCCACGCCAUGUCGUAUUUAUAAAUUAUAAGUAACCUCUCUCACUCUCUCUCUCUCUCUCUCUGUCUCUCUCUCUCUCUCUCUCUCUCCAUUCCAUUCCCAUGGCUCGCUUCUUUAUCUCCAAGACCAGCACCUUCCUCCACCGCCACCACCCGCACCCUCCCAAACCCCUCUUCACUCUCUCCCUCCGCCACCGAUCCUCCCACUCAGCCAACAACAACGGCACCCUCAUGGAGCUCGACCUCCUCUCCACCUCCUCCUCCUCCAAUGCCGCUGCUGACUACGACGUUACCAUGAGGAUGUUCGACGACCUAAUCCACCGAAUCCUCGUCAGGAAGGCCACACCCGAUUGGCUCCCUUUCGUUCCCGGCUCCUCUUUCUGGGUCCCACCGCGUCCAGCUCCCUCAAAUGUCGUCGAUUUGGUGCAUAAGUUAACCACCGAGGAACUCUCCGCAGAGGAGUCUCUCUCCCUCGCCACCCACCACGCUUGGCCCUCCUCCACCUUCUUCACCGAUGAGAACAAUCAAGCAGAUGGUGGAGAUACUGAUGUGGAAUUAAAUAAACCAGAAGGGAUGGAGGGAAUGGUGAAAGUGAAAGUUCUGACAAUCUCAGAUACUGUGGCUCAUGAAGAUGAGGAAGGAUGAACCAGUACCUUAGCCAAACAAGUUGCUGUGAUUAUCAGUUGGCUUGUUGUUGUGUUGUGAUCGUCAAUCAACCAUACGAAUGCGGUUUGAUAAGUUCUCGGGAAGACCAUUUCUAGCAGAUUUGCAUCAGGAUUUUGCAGGGUUUUCAUGGUGCAACCUACCUCAUUCAAAAGAAGAAAAAAGAGAGUAACUGAAAAUAAAUAAAAUGCUCUUUUGGAGAUUGAGAAGGCCAUGCACUCAAAUGGAAAUUCGUAUGAGAUACAGUACUGUUUAUUCGGGAUUAGCCCUUCCUUCGCUACGGGAAAAUUCUUUUAUAGGUACAAGUCCAUCGCGUCAUAUUUGGACACACUCGCAUGGGAGUGUAUCUUGAAUAAAGUUAGUGGGACUCACCUUUGUUGCGAGUGUUUAAAGAUGGGGGUGUUCAUUUUGUGCCUAUGGAAGAAUCUUUCCUAAUAUAUCCUUGCUUUACUUGGUAUUAGAGACUCAGCAUUGAUCUGUUUUAACCAGCAUAGCCUGAAUAUAUUACCAAUGUUGUAACCUUGAAUCAUUUGUAAGGUAGGAAUGUAUGUAUUUAUUUAGCUAAUGAAGCAAAAGAUUCUUUCA
Arachis stenosperma is the source of this 1252-nucleotide RNA transcript. RefSeq lists it as uncharacterized. Lineage: Eukaryota; Viridiplantae; Streptophyta; Magnoliopsida; Fabales; Fabaceae. The record is from RefSeq and is a predicted model, not a curated record. The transcript is spliced from 4 exons.